RNAcentral lists this long non-coding RNA (204 nucleotides) under Capsella rubella. Its description in RNAcentral is "long non-coding RNA (CRUB_LNC003816)". The record is from RNAcentral. Lineage: Eukaryota; Viridiplantae; Streptophyta; Magnoliopsida; Brassicales; Brassicaceae.
AAGAUUUGAUUUUUACAUCGGACUUGUCUUACCCGGACACAUUAACAGAAAGUCCUCGACCACUUCCUGACCGACCAUCAUUCCUCGGUAAUACCUAUGCACGACACUUCCGUUGCCCAAACACACAUAUUCUGAACACUAACUCAGAAACAGAAUUCUUGUUCCAACCAAACCAUGAUCGAACACCGACUAACCACAUUCGGA